RNAcentral lists this unclassified non-coding RNA (511 nucleotides) under Hevea brasiliensis (rubber tree). Lineage: Eukaryota; Viridiplantae; Streptophyta; Magnoliopsida; Malpighiales; Euphorbiaceae. The record is from RNAcentral.
ACCACUUGGUCUUGGAUGGUACUUCAGUUGCUGAGAGCUGACGCUGAUUAGUUUGUAUUGAAAUGAAGCAGCCUCUUUCCGGUUGCACAAUAUUUCGUACACCCCACUUUAAAGUCCCAAUCACAUACCCUUCUUUCUCAAUCAUCACCAGAUUUAUAUUCUGAACUCAUUGAAGCAUACGCUCGUGAUCAAGCCUCACACCAAGGAAGAAAACUGCAUUCGUAUAACCGGCUUGCUCUGCUCCUUCAACUCGUUUUGCCCCCAAGCUCGUAAACUGUUCGACGAAAUUUCCAAACCAAACACCCACCCUUGGGUUCAUGGGUUGUGCUCACUGGAGCCUACUCUCGACGUGGGUUUAAUCAGGAAGCUUUAACAGUAUUCUCCGAAAUGCAAAAUGAAGGGUUAGGGCCUAGUCUGUUUGUUUUUCCGAGUUUUGAUUUACAAGCAGGGAAGAUAUCGCUCUUUGUGAUUUUGAGGCCUUCAUUUGAGUCUGAUGUUUUUGUCAUUAGUG